RNAcentral lists this ribosomal RNA (450 nucleotides) under uncultured bacterium. Its description in RNAcentral is "partial 16S ribosomal RNA". It matches the Rfam family "Bacterial small subunit ribosomal RNA", at positions 354 to 796 of the family's 1533-position model. The record is from RNAcentral.
GUGGGGAAUUUUGGACAAUGGGCGCAAGCCUGAUCCAGCAAUGCCGCGUGCAGGAAGAAGGCCUUCGGGUUGUAAACUGCUUUUGUACGGAACGAAACGGUCCGGGUUAAUACCCUGGGCUAAUGACGGUACCGUAAGAAUAAGCACCGGCUAACUACGUGCCAGCAGCCGCGGUAAUACGUAGGGUGCGAGCGUUAAUCGGAAUUACUGGGCGUAAAGCGUGCGCAGGCGGUGCUGUAAGACAGGCGUGAAAUCCCCGGGCUCAACCUGGGAAUUGCGGUUGUGAGUGUAGUGCUGGAGUACGGCAGAGGGGGAUGGAAUUCCGCGUGUAGCAGUGAAAUGCGUAGAUAGGCGGAGGAACACCGAUGGCGAAGGCAGUCCCCUGGGCCUGUACUGACGCUCAUGCACGAAAGCGUGGGGAGCAAACAGGAUUAGAAACCCCGGUAGUCC